AUUAGGGGCUAGUAUAAGCACUCUUGUACCGUGAAACUGCGAAUGGCUCAUUAAAUCAGUUAUCGUUUAUUUGAUAGUACCCUACUACAUGGAUACCUGUGGUAAUUCUAGAGCUAAUACAUGCGCAAAACCCCGACUUCGGAAGGGGUGUAUUUAUUAGAUAAAAAACCAAUGCCCCUCGGGGCUCCUUGGUGAUUCAUAAUAACUUCACGAAUCGCAUGGCCUUGCGCCGGCGAUGGUUCAUUCAAAUUUCUGCCCUAUCAACUUUCGAUGGUAGGAUAGUGGCCUACCAUGGUGGCAACGGGUAACGGGGAAUUAGGGUUCGAUUCCGGAGAGGGAGCCUGAGAAACGGCUACCACAUCCAAGGAAGGCAGCAGGCGCGCAAAUUACCCAAUCCCGAUACGGGGAGGUAGUGACAAUAAAUACUGAUACAGGGCUCUUUUGGGUCUUGUAAUUGGAAUGAGAACAAUCUAAAUCCCUUAACGAGGAACAAUUGGAGGGCAAGUCUGGUGCCAGCAGCCGCGGUAAUUCCAGCUCCAAUAGCGUAUAUUAAAGUUGUUGCAGUUAAAAAGCUCGUAGUUGAACCUUGGGCCCGUCCUGCCGGUCCGCCUCACCGCGAGUACUGGUCCGGAUGGGCCUUUCUUUCUGGGGAAUCCCAUGGCCUUCACUGGCUGUGGCGGGGAACCAGGACUUUUACUGUGAAAAAAUUAGAGUGUUCAAAGCAGGCCUUUGCUCGGAUACAUUAGCAUGGAAUAAUAGAAUAGGACGUGCGGUUCUAUUUUGUUGGUUUCUAGGACCGCCGUAAUGAUUAAUAGGGAUAGUCGGGGGCGUCAGUAUUUCAGCUGUCAGAGGUGAAAUUCUUGGAUUUUGCUGAACACUCACUACUGCAAAGCAUUCGCCAGGGA
Molecule: ribosomal RNA, 905 nt
Filed under: Talaromyces minioluteus
Lineage: Eukaryota; Fungi; Ascomycota; Eurotiomycetes; Eurotiales; Trichocomaceae
Description: SSU rRNA
Rfam family: Eukaryotic small subunit ribosomal RNA
Source: RNAcentral